UAGGGGCAGCAUGAACCGACCUUCGGGAAGGUUUGAUGGCGACCCGGCGCAAGGGUGCGUAACGCCGUGAGCAACUUGCCCGUUUCUGGGGAAUAACCGGGUGGAAACGCCGACUAAUACCCCAUAGCAUCAACUUAGGGCAUCCUUAGUUGAUUAAGAAUUUCGGAAACGGAUGGGGAUGCCGUGACAUUAGAUAGUAGGCGGGGUAACGGCCCACCUAGUCUACGAUGUCUAGGGGUUCUGAGAGGAAGGUCCCCCACACUGGAACUGAGACACGGGUCCAGACUCCUACGGGAGGCAGCAGUGAGGAAUAUUGGUCAAUGGUCGGAAGACUGAACCAGCCAAGUAGCGUGAAGGAUGAAGGUUCUAUGGAUUGUAAACUUCUUUUAUACGGGAAUAAACCUCCCACGUGUGGGAGCUUGUAUGUACCGUAUGAAUAAGCAUCGGCUAACUCCGUG
Molecule: ribosomal RNA, 458 nt
Filed under: uncultured bacterium
Lineage: Bacteria
Description: bacterial SSU rRNA
Rfam family: Bacterial small subunit ribosomal RNA
Source: RNAcentral